CCUACGGGUGGCUGCAGUGGGGAAUAUUGGACAAUGGGGGGAACCCUGAUCCAGCCAUGCCGCGUGUGUGAAGAAGGCCCUCGGGUUGUAAAGCACUUUCAGUGAGGAAGAACGCCUGGUGGUUAAUACCCAUCAGGAAAGACAUCACUCACAGAAGAAGCACCGGCUAACUCCGUGCCAGCAGCCGCGGUAAUACGGAGGGUGCGAGCGUUAAUCGGAAUUACUGGGCGUAAAGCGCGCGUAGGUGGCUUGAUAAGCCGGUUGUGAAAGCCCCGGGCUCAACCUGGGAACGGCAUCCGGAACUGUCAAGCUAGAGUGCAGGAGAGGAAGGUAGAAUUCCCGGUGUAGCGGUGAAAUGCGUAGAGAUCGGGAGGAAUACCAGUGGCAAAGGCGGCCUUCAGGACUGACACUGACACUGAGGUGCGAAAGCGUGGGUAGCAAACAGGAUUAGAUACCCUUGUAGUC
Molecule: ribosomal RNA, 465 nt
Filed under: Vreelandella stevensii
Lineage: Bacteria; Pseudomonadati; Pseudomonadota; Gammaproteobacteria; Oceanospirillales; Halomonadaceae
Description: partial 16S ribosomal RNA
Rfam family: Bacterial small subunit ribosomal RNA
Source: RNAcentral